CCUACGUGAGGCAGCAGUGAGGAAUAUUGGUCAAUGGGCGCGAGCCUGAACCAGCCAAGUAGCGUGAAGGAUGAAUGCCCUACGGGUUGUAAACUUCUUUUAUAAAGGAAUAAAGUGAGGCACGUGUGCCUUUUUGUAUGUAUUUUAUGAACAAGUAUCGGCUAACCCCGUGCCAGCAGCCGCGGCAAUACGGCGGAUCCGAGCGUUAUCCGGAUUUAUUGGGUUUAAAGGGAGCGUAGAUGGGUUGUUAAGUCAGUUGUGAAAGUUUGCGGCUCAACCGUAAAAUUGCAAUUGAUACUGGCAGCCUUGAGUACAGUUGAGGUAGGCGGAAUUCGUGGUGUAGCGGUGAAAUGCUUAGAUAUCACGAAGAACUCCGAUUGCGAAGGCAGCCUACUAAACUGCCACUGACAUUGAUGCUCGAAAGUGUGGGUAUCAAACAGGAUUAGAUACCCCUGUAGUC
Molecule: ribosomal RNA, 460 nt
Filed under: uncultured bacterium
Lineage: Bacteria
Description: partial 16S ribosomal RNA
Rfam family: Bacterial small subunit ribosomal RNA
Source: RNAcentral